GCACACACCCAUUUUAAAAGCACAUUUUUGUGUUGAAUUUUACACAGUGUGACUAAACAAGAAACGCCACCACGAGAAAACAAGCACCUAAAACAAUAAUUUAUUGUUCUGUAUAAGAAGUUAAAUUCAGAUUUAAAAACAUAGCAAAUGCUAGUAAAUCAACGACAAGUUCAAGUAUGGAGAAGUGAAUAACAAUACAAAACGUGAACAAAUUUUUUUUGUUUUUGUUUCUAGCAUGGGAAACUGUAAAAUUAGAAUUAAAUAAUUAUACCUAAAAUGGAAAUACAUUGAACUAGAUACACAAUAUCACAAUCUGAGAAACCGAUUUUUUUAGACAGUGUUUCACCUCAUACACAAACAACUAGAGACGAUGAGAAAACAACCAAUAGCAACAACAGAUUAAUUCUUCAGACCAGUGACAUCCAAUCAUGGCUUUUCAGAUAAUUUUCUGCUGGGCUGUUUAAGAAAAGAGGCAAACACAUGGUGUGCAUUUCAAGACUGAAAACAAACAAUUUCUGUUUUGUAAUUGUCGAUGUUGUGGUAUUUGUUAUUGGCAAAGUCCAAAAAGCACAAUAUACCACUUUUACCUUACACAGAGGUUCAUAAAAAAUACAAUAAAAUAAAUAAGAAAUAGUGAUUAUUUGACAGCGUUUGUGUUACAUAUUUCUCCCAAUAUGUGCAGCUAGCGUGCAAAAUCAGGUCUAAUCUUUUAGCACCAAUUUCACAAAAUGCUUGCCAGUGCUCUAACUACCCAGUGAUCUGAAAAUACAGCAAAAAGGCCUUCGUGGUCUGCUGAUUCAGGAACGCUAAUAAAAAAAUAAUAAUACACUGCUUUAAGGCUGUAAUCUGAAAAAACAAAACAAAAAUAAUGCAACUGUUUCCCCCUUAAACAAAUGUAAUAAAGUGGAUUGGGAUUCUCAUGGCCUUUAAGACAAAAAAUGCCAGUGUUUAUUCCCAUAGCACAGUAGUGUUAGCAAAUCCUCUUCCAUGAAAUCACGGCCUAGUUAUGCAUGCGCGUUAACUCACGUCUAACCCCGUUAAUAUAGUCACCAUGUGAAUAACGGAAUACAUUCUUACUGCUUUUUUGUUUUGUUUUACUAAUAUUACAUUUGUGAUUAUAAUUUGUUUUCCUGAAAGUCAAAUACGGUUUAAAACAAUGCGGGUUCAGUAACAAAAUGCAAUGUAAUUUAAUAAAUGGCAGGGUUAUUUACAAUGAGAAUUGUUAAAAACAGAAAAGAAAUAUGAAAAAAACAAAACAAAAAAAAACUUUUUGUAAGUGCUAUAAGAAUUCACCCUUUGUGAGUGUUUAAUGCUGCUCACCUCUCAAGCAUUUAAAGAGUGAUCGCAAUCAGAAGGUAACUUGAAACAUAUACAUUUAGAGAAUAAACCGCUAUUUACAAAAUUAAACCUCAAUUGUGCAUAAUACAAUAAAUGUUUCCUGAUAUUCCGUCUGCUCUUCUCCUAAAUAGUUUAUUACUAUGCAUUAUAUUAUAUAACAGGUUACACAAACUUUUCAAUUAAUAAUCUACGGAUUCCUUGCAAACACACCUGUGCUAGAAUUAAUCUCAAAAGCAUUAAAAUAGAUUGGAAAUAUAUACAUGGAAUGUAGCGAUCACGUUCGAUCGCCCUCAUGAAAUAGUCCAUCCCUUUUUUUGAUUGACUAAAGAAAUACAUUGUUAAUUAUAUACAUAUAUAUUUCUAUGACCUCAUCUAAUAAAUACAAAAUAAACUGAGUGUGGAUUUACAGCUCUUUUAUUGACCCAUUUUAAACAAGAUAUUAAGUUGGAAAGAUGUAAAUUUCUCGUAAAGAUAUCAUGGGAUGGGAAUAGUGACAAGCAUGCACCUAACUAAUGGUUAAAGAUUGUUCCAGUGACAUUAUUUAAGGUAACCCAAUUAUGCCAAACAGUGUAGCAUCGGAUAAGACUAAGUAGAAUGCAAUGUAUUGUGGGUGAUAAUAUAAACGCAGGGACUCUCUUAUUUUUCUUUGUAGAUUCAAUUAUAUUUAGUGAUUUCAGACAUAACCUCAAUCACGUUCCACCUGUUUCAUCAUGCUCGUUGUUCGCUCCCUUCCAAUAUCGUGCAAAAAAUGAUUUCCUAAUCUAGAAGUGUUCUAAAUCACCUUACACAACAUUGUAGCCCUCUCAAUCAAAUAAACAAAAAACAACCAAACAAAAACAAAAAACAAUUCAUACAAAAACAAACUAGCUAAAUAUUAGAAUGCAGCCAACAUUCAUGUAAAAAGUAAUGUAAUCUGAUAAAAGGUUGAUAUGUCUAAAAUUCCAUGCCUUCCUAUGGCAAUACUUGGUUGUUGUAUAACUACAUCUCCCAUGAUAAAUUGCCAGCCUUUAGAAUGGAAAAGCAUCAUGGUCAGUUCAGUUCUAAAACGGUGGGAGAUCUGCUUUUUCGCCAAACCUUACCUUGUUGGUCACGUAAUGCUCAAAUGUAUAAUUGCAAUUAACAACAAAUCAUUUCCAGAGUAACUAAGUACUCCACUACUAUGCUAUAUCCGUGGAUUACAAUAUUUUAAUAAUCAUUUUUAUAAUUUAGUGAAUUGUCUACAACAUGUGAUGCCAUUGUUGAAACUUUCAGUUGGAAGAAAUAAAAGGCACUGGCCAAAAGUAGUAAGUACCCACAAAAAAAAAAAGAUGUGAAAUAAAAGCAUUUUCAAAUAAUCUAAACCCAGGCAAAUUUAAAGACCAGUGAAUUUGAUCUGUAAUUAUAAAGUGCGUAAGAAAAUGUUUUUUUGACCUUUUUCCUUUCUCAGAGUGUCUCUUGUUCUGAUGAUAUACAUAGAUGAACUGUGUUUUUGGGGUGUGUGAACAAGUGAAUAGUGGAACGGGUUGACACUUUAUAAACAGGUGAAUAUAACCUUUUUUUAGAAGGCAUAUUAAGCAGGUAGAAUACAUAGAGUUUCUUUUCCUCCAAAACUAUCCUGGGAUUAAAAACUGCAAAA
Pelobates cultripes (western spadefoot toad) is the source of this 2953-nucleotide non-coding RNA. The record is from the annotation of a GenBank genome assembly. Lineage: Eukaryota; Metazoa; Chordata; Amphibia; Anura; Pelobatidae.